GUAGUGAUAUGCUUGUUUCAAAGAUUAAGCCAUGCAUGUCUAAGUAUAAGCGAACUUAUACAGUGAAACUGCGGAUGGCUCAUUAAAACAGUUUGAAUUUAUUUGAUGAAUGUAUGAGAAUACUACUUGGAUAACCGUAGUAAUUCUAGAGCUAAUACAUGCAACGACGCCCGACCGUUUCACUACGGAAGGGCUGUAUUUAUUGGAUACCAAAACCAUCCUUCCCUCGGGAAGUUUUGUUUGAUGAUUCACAAUAACUGAUCGGAUCGCCACUGUGGUGGCGACAGGUCAUUCAACAUUCUGCCCUAUCAGCUUUCGAUGGUUGUGUAGUGGACAACCAUGGCCAUAACGGGUAACGGAGAAUCAGGGUUCGAUUCCGGAGAAGGAGCUUGAGAAUUGGCUACUACAUCUAAGGAAGGCAGCAGGCGCGCAAAUUACCCAAUCCCGAUUCGGGGAGGUAGUGACAAAAAAUAACAAUACCGGGCCUUUUUGGGCUUGGUAAUUGGAAUGAGGGAGAGUUAAACGGACCAUCGAGUAUCCAUUGGAGGGCAAGUCUGGUGCCAGCAGCUGCGGUAAUACCAGCUCCAAUAGCGUAUAUUAAAGUUGUUGCAGUUAAAAAGCUCGUAGUUGGACUUGUGUGCGCUGUCCGCGGGUGGCCUGCGCCCAAAAGGGCGUUUCGGUUCGGCCCCGGUGGCGCCUUGAAAUCUGCAGCUGGGGGGACGUUGGCCUUAACUGGUCGGCGACCGCACGCCGGCUGCUCGGUUACUGUGAGAAAAUUAGAGUGUUCAAGGCAGGCAUUGGGUGCAAUUGAAUACAUUAGCAUGGAAUAAUAAAAUAUGGCUCCUGCCGUAUUUUGUUGGUUUUGACUGGUGGAAGUAAUGAUUGAUAGGGACGGUUGGGGGUGCUAGUAUUGAGCGGCCAGAGGUGAAAUUCAUGGAUUCGCUCAAGACUAACUUAUGCGAAAGCAUUCACCAAGGACGUCCUCUUUUAAUCAAGAACGAAAGUUGGGGGAUCGAAGACGAUCAGAUACCGUCGUAGUCUCAACCAUAAACUAUGUCGACUUGGGAUCGGCGGUAGUUUUUUCAUUAAGGCACUGUCGGGACCACGGGAGAAAUCAAAGUGUCUGGACUCUGGGGGAAGUAUGGUCGCAAGGCUGAAACUUGAAGGAAUUGACGGAAGGGCACCACCAGGAGUGGAGCCUGCGG
Molecule: ribosomal RNA, 1205 nt
Filed under: metagenome
Description: SSU rRNA
Rfam family: Eukaryotic small subunit ribosomal RNA
Source: RNAcentral